CGUGGGCUAUGAGCCUUAGUAGCGAAGCUAACGCGUAAGUUCUCGCUGGGGAGUACGACGCAAGCUAAACUCAAAGGAAUUGACGGGGGCCGCACAAGCGGUGAGCAUGUGUUAAUUCGAUGCAACGCGAAGAACCUUACCUACUCUUGACAUCCUUGGAAUCCUCUAGAGAUAGAGGAGUGCCUUCGGGAACCAAGUGACAGGUGCUGCAUGGCUGUCGUCAGCUCGUGUCGUGAGAUGUUGGGUUAAGUCCCGUAACGAGCGCAACCCUCGCCCUUAGUUGCCAUCAGUUCGGCUGGGAACUCUAAGGGGACCGCCGGUGAUAAACCGGAGGAAGGUGGGGGUGAUGUCAAGUCAUCAUGGCCCUUACGAGUAGGGCUACACACGUGCUACAAUGGGCAGUACAAAGGGUUGCGAUACCGCGAGGUGGAGCUAAUCCCAUAAAGCUGCUCUUAGUCCGGAUUGGAGUCUGCAACUCGACUCCAUGAAGUUGGAAUCGCUAGUAAUCGCGAAUCAGAAUGUCGCGGUGAAUACGUUCCCGGGCCUUGUACACACCGCCCGUCACACCAUGGGAGUGAUUUGUACCAGAAGCGGGUAGGCUAACCUUCGGGAGGCCGCUCUCCACGGUAUGAUUCAUGACUGGGGUGAAGUCGUAACAAGGUAA
Molecule: ribosomal RNA, 664 nt
Filed under: uncultured bacterium
Lineage: Bacteria
Description: bacterial SSU rRNA
Rfam family: Bacterial small subunit ribosomal RNA
Source: RNAcentral